RNAcentral lists this ribosomal RNA (393 nucleotides) under uncultured bacterium. RNAcentral's name for it is "partial 16S ribosomal RNA". It matches the Rfam family "Bacterial small subunit ribosomal RNA", at positions 523 to 918 of the family's 1533-position model. The record is from RNAcentral.
AUACGGAGGAUCCGAGCGUUAUCCGGAUUUAUUGGGUUUAAAGGGAGCGUAAGCGGACGCUUAAGUCAGUUGUGAAAGUUUGCGGCUCAACCGUAAAAUUGCAGUUGAUACUGGGUGUCUUGAGUACAGUAGAGGCAGGCGGGAUUUGUGGUGUGGCGGGGGAAUGCUUAGAUAUCACGAAGAACUCCGAUUGCGAAGGCAGCCUGCUGGACUGUAACUGACGCUGAUGCUCGAAAGUGUGGGUAUCAAACAGGAUUAGAUACCCUGGUAGUCCACACAGUAAACGAUGAAUACUCGCUGUUUGCGAUAUACAGUAAGCGGCCAAGCGAAAGCGUUAAGUAUUCCACCUGGGGAGUACGCCGGCAACGGUGAAACUCAAAGGAAUUGACGGGG